RNAcentral lists this ribosomal RNA (253 nucleotides) under uncultured bacterium. RNAcentral's name for it is "partial 16S ribosomal RNA". It matches the Rfam family "Bacterial small subunit ribosomal RNA", at positions 524 to 776 of the family's 1533-position model. The record is from RNAcentral.
UACGAAGGGGGCUAGCGUUGCUCGGAAUCACUGGGCGUAAAGGGUGCGUAGGCGGGAUCUUAAGUCAGAGGUGAAAGCCUGGAGCUCAACUCCAGAACUGCCUUCGAUACUGGCGAUCUCGAGUCCGGAAGAGGUGAGUGGAACUCCUAGUGUAGAGGUGGAAUUCGUAGAUAUUAGGAAGAACACCAGUGGCGAAGGCGGCUCACUGGUCCGGUACUGACGCUGAGGUGCGAAAGCGUGGGGAUCAAACAGG